ACAGCAGUCGCCACGGUAAAACGUAGGGUGCAAGCGUUAAUCGGAAUUACUGGGCGUAAAGCGUGCGCAGGCGGUUUGUUAAGACAGAUGUGAAAUCCCCGGGCUCAACCUGGGAACUGCAUUUGUGACUGGCAAGCUAGAGUGUGGCAGAGGGGGGUGGAAUUCCGCGUGUAGCAGUGAAAUGCGUAGAUAUGCGGAGGAACACCGAUGGCGAAGGCAGCCCCCUGGGCCAACACUGACGCUCAUGCACGAAAGCGUGGGGAGCAAACAGGAUUAGAUACCCCCGUAGUCCCUGUCUCUUAUAC
RNAcentral lists this ribosomal RNA (305 nucleotides) under uncultured bacterium. RNAcentral describes it as "partial 16S ribosomal RNA". It matches the Rfam family "Bacterial small subunit ribosomal RNA", at positions 505 to 807 of the family's 1533-position model. The record is from RNAcentral.